This 495-nucleotide ribosomal RNA is filed under the name uncultured bacterium. RNAcentral's name for it is "partial 16S ribosomal RNA". It matches the Rfam family "Bacterial small subunit ribosomal RNA", at positions 30 to 507 of the family's 1533-position model. The record is from RNAcentral.
UGACCGCUGGCGGCGUGCCUAAUACAUGCACAUCGCGCGAACAGACGCGGAGCUUGCUCCUCUGACGUUAGCGGCGGACGGGUGAGUAACACGUGGAUAACCUACCUAUAAGACUGGGAUAACUUCGGGAAACCGGAGCUAAUACCGGAUAAUAUAUUGAACCGCAUGGUUCAAUAGUGAAAGACGGUUUUGCUGUCACUUAUAGAUGGAUCCGCGCCGCAUUAGCUAGUUGGUAAGGUAACGGCUUACCAAGGCAACGAUGCGUAGCCGACCUGAGAGGGUGAUCGGCCACACUGGAACUGAGACACGGUCCAGACUCCUACGGGAGGCAGCAGUAGGGAAUCUUCCGCAAUGGGCGAAAGCUUGACGGAGCAACGCCGCGUGAGUGAUGAAGGUCUUCGGAUCGUAAAACUCUGUUAUUAGGGAAGAACAAAUGUGUAAGUAACUAUGCACGUCUUGACGGUACCUAAUCAGAAAGCCACGGCUAACUACGUG